MicroRNA precursor from Sorghum bicolor (sorghum), 86 nucleotides. It matches the Rfam family "mir-156 microRNA precursor family". Rfam says of the family: This family represents the plant microRNA (miRNA) precursor mir-156. Animal miRNAs are transcribed as ~70nt precursors and subsequently processed by the Dicer enzyme to give a ~22nt product. The record is from Rfam. Lineage: Eukaryota; Viridiplantae; Streptophyta; Magnoliopsida; Poales; Poaceae.
UUGACAGAAGAGAGUGAGCACACGGCGCGACGAACGGCAUAAUAUGUAUGUCGUCCUCGCCGCGUGCUCACUUCUCUUUCUGUCAG